UGUUCCAUCCAUCAGCACAAAUUAUAAGAUAUAUAUCAUGCUUUGGAUGAUGUGUAAAAAUGUCAUCCAAUUGUUCAUAUGAAAGAAGAUUAAUUAUUGCUUCGUACGAAGGAUACAACCCACGCUCCCUGAAAGGUGGAAGGUGCUUUACAAAAAAAAAGAAAGUAUGUACAAGCUCCUUGUAGCUUAGCUAUGGUUAGUGGGUAUGCCGAUUUUUUUUUAAAUA
RNAcentral lists this long non-coding RNA (226 nucleotides) under Elaeis guineensis (African oil palm). RNAcentral describes it as "long non-coding RNA (EGUI_LNC076443)". The record is from RNAcentral. Lineage: Eukaryota; Viridiplantae; Streptophyta; Magnoliopsida; Arecales; Arecaceae.